Molecule: ribosomal RNA, 492 nt
Filed under: uncultured bacterium
Lineage: Bacteria
Description: partial 16S ribosomal RNA
Rfam family: Bacterial small subunit ribosomal RNA
Source: RNAcentral
AGUGAACGCUGGCGGUAGGCCUAACACAUGCAAGUCGAACGGCAGCACAGUAAGAGCUUGCUCUUACGGGUGGCGAGUGGCGGACGGGUGAGGAAUACAUCGGAAUCUACUUUUUCGUGGGGGAUAACGUAGGGAAACUUACGCUAAUACCGCAUACGACCUACGGGUGAAAGCAGGGGAUCUUCGGACCUUGCGCGAUUGAAUGAGCCGAUGUCGGAUUAGCUAGUUGGCGGGGUAAAGGCCCACCAAGGCGACGACCCGUAGCUGGUCUGAGAGGAUGAUCAGCCACACUGGAACUGAGACACGGUCCAGACUCCUACGGGAGGCAGCAGUGGGGAAUAUUGGACAAUGGGCGCAAGCCUGAUCCAGCCAUACCGCGUGGGUGAAGAAGGCCUUCGGGUUGUAAAGCCCUUUUGUUGGGAAAGAAAAGCAGCAGGUUAAUACCCCGCUGUUCUGACGGUACCCAAAGAAUAAGCACCGGCUAACUUCGAG